UUUGCUCUGCCAUAUUGGCCAUUAAAUCCUCAGCAAAAUUCUUCUACAAACUUUCAUUUAAGGGAUUCCAAUAUUUUUCCGAACUGUGGUUCGGAAGUGCGGAAACCCACCUGGUUAUCAGGGUGGAACCCACUGAGAUAAAUUUAAAAAGCGGUAUGGCGGAGCUUUA
RNAcentral lists this non-coding RNA (169 nucleotides) under Candidatus Peregrinibacteria bacterium RIFOXYB2_FULL_32_7. RNAcentral describes it as "6S RNA". It matches the Rfam family "6S / SsrS RNA". From Rfam's summary of the family: E. coli 6S RNA was the first non coding RNA to be sequenced, but its function was unknown until recently. It consists of 184 nucleotides that fold into an extended hairpin structure with a large single-stranded internal bulge. The record is from RNAcentral. Lineage: Bacteria; Candidatus Peregrinibacteriota.